Molecule: long non-coding RNA, 946 nt
Organism: Pteropus alecto (black flying fox)
Lineage: Eukaryota; Metazoa; Chordata; Mammalia; Chiroptera; Pteropodidae
Exons: 8
Source: RefSeq, a predicted model, not a curated record
AGGACAUGAGAGAGAGAAGAGAUGAAGCAGGGCAGAAUCCCAAAGGGCCUUCUCAGCUUUGCAGAGGAAUUUGGGCUUAAUGCUGAAGUUGUCUCAGCAAUGGAACCAAAGCUGUUGAUGAAAAUGUUGCAGCUCACAUUCACCGGGGGACCUGCCAAUCAAGAGAGAGCACUGCUUAGCUCCAUGGCCCUGAAGAAACCCACAGGAUCAGGCCUGUUCCUGGAACACUGACCUCAGGGAUGGACCCCCCUUGUCUUAAAGAAGAAAGAGAAUAUCAGAGCUGAAAAGGCCUUGUUCUACUGGAUCAUUUUAUAAACGCAGAAACAGAGGCCCAGCUACAUCAAGCGGUUUGUCCUGGGUCAUGUGUGCCAGGUGUUUGAGAUUGUGACCCUGGUGAAGGGCUUGAGGCCAGCGUGCUAUGACAACAACCUUGGUCCUGACUUACCUGUCCUUGAGAGGACCAAGGUUAUGCUAAUGGUGCUGGAAGAUGUGGCCUCAGGAGCAGAGUGCUGGGGGAGCAAAAGAGCCUCAAGGAAUCGGGAAGUUUUGCAUAAAUCUUGAUUCUGGCUACUCUUGGAAUGGGAGUCCUAGAGCUCCAUGAAGCAUGGUUUAAAGACCAUAGAUAUAGCCAACUCCAUCACUGAAGAGAUGAAGAAAUUGAGGCUCACAGAAAGGAAGAGGCUUAUUCAAGUUCAGAGAAACUUGACUAAGAUAAUUCCAAAAUGUAUAUGAAACAGUAAAGGGUUGACAGUAGCCAGGACAUUUCUGUAGAAGAGCACAAAGGUAACUGGGGUAGGAGCUGCAGGAGAGCCAGGCAGUGUGAACACAAGAAGAGGACAUGUGGCUCUGUACCAAGAGGCUCUGCUUCUGACAGCCAGGGGAACACUGGGCGUUAACUCAGACGCGGAGCUGCCACCGAGGAGAAAGAAGAUUGGGAGACGUGCCA